This 328-nucleotide long non-coding RNA is filed under the name Malus domestica (apple). RNAcentral's name for it is "long non-coding RNA (MDOM_LNC021274)". The record is from RNAcentral. Lineage: Eukaryota; Viridiplantae; Streptophyta; Magnoliopsida; Rosales; Rosaceae.
AAAGAUUGAAGAAACAACGGAGAUGAGUAAGAAUAAUUAAAUGGUUUAAUUAUUUAUGGCAAUGAUUAAUUAAUAUGUUAAUUAAUCAAACGAAUAAGUUCGUUAAAAGACCACGGGUUAGUUUUGGGCCUCAAGGCCCAAUGGGCUUUGAACGUCAAGCCCAUUGACUUAAGUUGUAUGACAACUUAAUGACUAAUAAUUCACAAAGGCCCUAAAAGCCCAAUGAAACCCAAUGGCCGGCCAUUUAGAGAUGGAGUGAGUUUUGGACUUAUUUACAAGUUUGCCACUCCAAUGAAUUAAGGUAUAAAUGUGACUUUAUAGCCAAAAU